AUUGAACGCUGGCGGCAGGCCUAACACAUGCAAGUCGAACGGUAGCACAGAGGGCUUGCUCUCGGGUGACGAGUGGCGGACGGGUGAGUAACGUCUGGGAAACUGCCCGAUGGAGGGGGAUAACUACUGGAAACGGUAGCUAAUACCGCAUAACGUCGCAAGACCAAAGUGGGGGACCUUCGGGCCGCACACCAGCGGAUGUGCCCAGAUGGGAUUAGCUAGUAGGUGGGGUAAUGGCUCACCUAGGCGACGAUCCCUAGCUGGUCUGAGAGGAUGACCAGCCACACUGGAACUGAGACACGGUCCAGACUCCUACGGGAGGCAGCAGUGGGGAAUAUUGCACAAUGGGCGCAAGCCUGAUGCAGCCAUGCCGCGUGUAUGAAGAAGGCCUUCGGGUUGUAAAGUACUUUCAGCGGGGAGGAAGGCGGUGAAGUUAAUAACUUCACCGAUUGACGUUACCCGCAGAAGAAGCACCGGCUAACUCCGUGCCAGCCGCCGCGGUAA
This 504-nucleotide ribosomal RNA is filed under the name uncultured bacterium. Its description in RNAcentral is "partial 16S ribosomal RNA". It matches the Rfam family "Bacterial small subunit ribosomal RNA", at positions 29 to 523 of the family's 1533-position model. The record is from RNAcentral.